This 459-nucleotide ribosomal RNA is filed under the name uncultured bacterium. RNAcentral's name for it is "partial 16S ribosomal RNA". It matches the Rfam family "Bacterial small subunit ribosomal RNA", at positions 338 to 795 of the family's 1533-position model. The record is from RNAcentral.
CCUACGGGAGGCAGCAGUGAGGAAUAUUGGUCAAUGGGCGAGAUCCUGAACCAGCCAAGCCGCGUGAGGGAAGACGGUCCUGUGGGUUGUAAACCUCUUUUGUCGGGGAACAAAACCCGGGACGUGUCCCCGACUGCGUGUAUCCGAAGAAAAAGCAUCGGCUAACUCCGUGCCAGCAGCCGCGGUAAUACGGAGGAUGCGGGCGUUAUCCGGUUUUAUUGGGUUUAAGGGGUGCGUAGGCGGUCCGUUAAGUCAGCGGUAAAAUUGCGGGGCUAAACCCCGCCGAGCCGUGGAAACUGGCAGACUUGAGUGGGCGGGAAGUAGGCGGAAUGCGCGGUGUAGCGGUGAAAUGCAUAGAUAUCGCGAAGAACUCCGAUUGCGAAGGCAGCAUACCGGAGGCGUUCUGACGCUGAGGCACGAAAGCGUGGGUAUCGAACAGGAUUAGAUACCCUAGUAGUC